Long non-coding RNA from Phascolarctos cinereus (koala), 1616 nucleotides. The record is from Ensembl. Lineage: Eukaryota; Metazoa; Chordata; Mammalia; Diprotodontia; Phascolarctidae.
GAUGCAAAGGACUCAGAUAUAGAGAAGCAAAAAGCCAGAGUAGAAGAGGUAGAGCAUGCCCUCCAGAAGGUGAAGGAGAAGAAGGAAAAAAGCGAGACCCAGAAUGCUGCCCUGGACGCUAAGGUCCAGCAGCUUCAGCACAACCUGAAUGAGGCCCACCAAGAACAGCUACUACUGGCUCAGAAGCUGUCAUGUGUUGAUAAACAGACAUCUAUGCUAAAGGAUAGCCUAGACUGUACCCAGCGGAAGCUGGAAGAUAAGAUAGCUGAGAACAUGGAAAAGAAAGAGCUUAUCGACAAGCUUUCCAGUGAGCUCAAAGGACAUCAGAAAGAUAAAUCCACACUAGUGGAUCUACUGGAAACAGAAAGAAAGAAUAUUGAAAUGCUGACGUCAGAACUUGAAGUAUCCAAUAGGAAACACCAUGAUGCAGAAAAGGAGAUCACAGAACUUCAGAAAUCAGUGGAUGAUAUGAAACUACAGCUGUGUAAAAGCCAGGAGAAGAUGAAGGAACUCAUAGACGAGCUUGAGGAGGAAUGUUAUAUUAAUGAGAGUCUGCGAAAACAACUGAAACAGCUAGAGAGGGAGCGAGAGGACCACCAGGACUUGAGGCUGACGUGGAAGAACCAGGAGAAGGAGCUAAAGGACAAAAUUGAGGCGCUCAAGAAGGAAAUCCAAGAUGAUAAGAAACUGGAGAUGGAGAAACUGAGUGUCCUUGAACAUCAGGUCAAGAAUCUUCGGGAUCAGCAGAAACAUCCCUCACAGCAGAGAGGAACUCAGGACAAGCUUGAGGCUGUUGUGAUGUUGCAUCUCUCUGAAGAGGUUGAAGGGGUGGACUGAUUGACUGGUUAGUUGUUUAACAGCAUGGAAUCCAAAGAGGAAAUGGGUAGGAGUGGAAAGCAGGAGGAUGCCUACCUUCCCAGUGUGUGAGUGAGGAAGAGAUGAAAAGAAAGGCCAAGAAUAGUAAAAUUUCCAACCAUACUGGCUCCAGUUUUCUUUUCAAGAGAUGAGUUUCUAGAAGAUGUCAAAGAGAGGAGGAUGAGGAAAAAAGGAAUAAGAUCUCACAGGAGGAAGUGUGGAAGAAUGGACAAGACAGAGCAACAAGUGUGGGUCUGGGUGGUAGCUGAGGAGUCACUCUCUCGAGCUCUAGGCUUCAUUGCUCCAUGAGAAAUAGGAGAAAGAAAGGCUUGCUAAGAUAGAGGCUGAGAAGCAGGAUCACUCUCCAGGAUCAGCUACAACAGAAUUCAUUCCAACUAGGAUCAGUUACACAAAGUGUUGUUGAAAAGAUCCAAGAGCAGGCAGAAAAGGUGAGCAGACCCAAGAUCACCACAAUGGUGGAGAAGGGGGACAGCUCUGGAUAGGCUGUCUCUGUUCCAGCCACCCAUCUCUGUCACACAGGUAUACCAACCCAGUAAGUAACUGAUGCCUAAAAUCCUAUGACAAAGGUCUAUCCUGGGCAUCCUGGUGGAACAUCCAGCCCUUCCUAUCCUCAUGACAGAGCCAUGUUUCAGUUUCAUGUCACACUCACUAAGGCAAAGGUCACUUCUUCCUCCAUGAAGGAAGUGUUUUUUUAAAAUAUAGGCUUAAUAGGUGAGCAUAAAAAGCUGUACCUUGGAACC